CUGCGGAUGGGCCGGUGAGGAGUGUACCUGUCUGCCUUCGAGGCUCAGAGAUCUGGCUGAUGGCCUAAUGCUGGGAGGCAUGAGGAGGAAAUGGACAGCAGAGAAGGCGUUGGUGUUAUGAAGCAAGCGCACUCCCAUUGUCUCAUCCCAUAUAAGUUAGUAAGUCCCUUUCCAUCCUCUGAAAUAGCAGUGAAGCGCUGAAAGAAACAGCUCAAGUGGAACAGCAUGGAGCCGAGUAACAAGCCACUGUGCCUGCCACAAAAAUGCAACUUUGUGAAGUUUCAGAUGUUACGAGAACAGCUGGCAGUCUCAGUUAUUUGACUGCCAUAAUACAGUCUGAAGUCUUUAUUGGAUUACAUAACACUUCUGGCAACAUUUGGGAGCACAAAACGUGGAAUAAUAUUAUAAGCUCCCUGAUUGGUGAGUAGAUCUUAAUCCCCGCCCACAUUCCACAGUGACUGCUCGCUCUGAGAGCUUCAUGUUUUUCCUGGCUAAUUACACCACUAGCACAUUCCAAUAUCAA
Molecule: long non-coding RNA, 523 nt
Organism: Sinocyclocheilus anshuiensis
Lineage: Eukaryota; Metazoa; Chordata; Actinopteri; Cypriniformes; Cyprinidae
Exons: 4
Source: RefSeq, a predicted model, not a curated record